This 237-nucleotide ribosomal RNA is filed under the name uncultured bacterium. Its description in RNAcentral is "partial 16S ribosomal RNA". It matches the Rfam family "Bacterial small subunit ribosomal RNA", at positions 532 to 769 of the family's 1533-position model. The record is from RNAcentral.
AUGCGAGCGUUAUCCGGAUUUAUUGGGUUUAAAGGGUGCGCAGGCGGACUGUCAAUUAAGCGGUAAAAGCCCGGGGCUCAACCCCGGCGAGCCGUUGAAACUGGUGUGCUUGAGAGGCCGAGAGGUAUGCGGAAUGCGCGGUGUAGCGGUGAAAUGCAUAGAUAUCGCGCAGAACUCCGAUUGCGAAGGCAGCAUACCGGCGGUCAUCUGACGCUGAGGCACGAAAGCGUGGGGAUC